CAGCCACUGAGAGGUGAGCGGCUUCCUCCAAUACUCACUCCCCGCCGCGAUGUAGACCUCUCCACAGGUUUGAAGGCAGCAGGACCAUGUGACCAUAACCUGAAACUGUUUUCAACAACAAAUAAGGCUGAAGAAGAUGAAGAAGCAGGCAGCCCUUUUAACAGGUGCCCUCCAGGUAACCCUGAGGGAAGAAAGAAGUCACUGUGGGUGUAAUUCCCUGGAUUCUUCACACAAGACUAAAGAGCAUCCUGGAACUGGAAGACUUUGGAUGAGCCUGGAAAUGCCCCUCCUAUAGGCUGGGACCCAUGGAAAUGAAGAUCAAACAAAUAAGAUCAUUUGUUGUUAGGCUUUACUUUCUACUUUUCUUGUUGGAGAGUUUGUCUUCUAAAAUAGUUAGGCAGACACUCUAUACAUGAUUUCCUUCAUGUUAUUAUUGACAUAAUUGUCUGUUCUUGGCUACAUUUUGCCAAACCCCAGCAAACUAACUGUUAUGAUUUCAGUGUAUAGUUCUUUCCAUGUGAACACAAGGGCAGAAAAACAAUCUCCCCAAUCCUGGAUAAGGCAGGAAUUUAAUGGACUCUUGGAUAUGUUACCCAAAACCCUUUUGACCACCCUGACUCCUCUGUUUUACCUGUGACCAACUUUUCCAUGGUUCUUAACUUAACUGUGUACUAUGAUGAAAGACCCAUUAAAGUAAUGCACCAAGUAAGGGUAACCACCCGAAACUCCACAUAUCCUCCCUUGGGUUUGAGUUCUGCAAUAUACCCUGAGGCUAUAAACUGUCCUGAGCCCAUCAAUACUGCUGUAGUCACUGAAUUAUUUAACAUAUUUCCCAAUAACAGCUCAGUUAGAUUAUCUGUAAGGGAAAGCCAACAAUAUGAGGCUCUGGCUUUCUGGGAAUACCUGGAUUGAGCCUGCCAAGGAAGUAACAGAAACCUUUCCCUUUGUAUGGACUACCUGAGACUCAAUAUCUGGAACACUCAGAGUCCACAACCUCCUAACAUAAAUCUCUAGAGGGUUGUUCAAUAACUCCAGACUCUUACCUUGGCUCCCAACAAACAGAACACUGACCAAGGGCCACCAGUUACAUAACCCUGGUUUAAGCCAAUUCUGGAGACCUUGCCCUGGGACUCAGAGCUCAGUUUAAACAAUUGAUUGGGAAUCCCAUAUGCUGACAGGAUACCUGCUUGUUUGGGGGGGGGGAUCUGAAGGAGCCCCAGUGAGCAUAUACAUAGCUGAAGGGAGCAGUUUUUCUCCACCUUGGAUUGAAAUCACGAACCAAAACAAAUCUUUCUUCUCCUCAGGUACUGAAAACUAACACAACCAGGAAGAUGGAUUCUGGUAUACAUUCAGUAGAAUCUUCUUGCCCUGGUGGAGGUAGGAGCCCAUAAACUUAUUAGGUAUUCUUUCCAGGGUGUUAAUCAUGUCUGGGCCAUCUCCACAUAGCAAAAAGGAAUAGAAUCCUUAGUAAUCUGGUUACCAGGCACUACCUUAGCUUUGAACUGUAUCUGAGAAAGGAGUUUGUACGAGCAUGGGUACUUUCUUGUUGUUCUUAUAGUAACACUCCUGAUGUUGAAACGUACCUUGAGAACACUGUGAAACAGGCAUCCUGGCUUCAACAAAUAUUCCCGGAAGCACAAGGAAUAAAUGACUGGUUCUCAGAAUUGCUUUCCUGGAUCCUGCAGGGUGUUAAGUCUGUAUUUUCUGGGCUAAUCAAAUUAGGAAUGUCCAUUUUACUGAUCUUAUUUAUGUCAGAUGUGCUUCAAAAUGCUGCAGUAAAACAAUUGCACAGGAUACUUCAGCUAUGGUUUUACUGAUUUUGUUCCUUCCUUUGACAUCAAGUGAAGUUCACUCAUCUAACUCAGGAGGAAGGUGUUCCACAAAAUGAUUUCCCUCUCCCAACUCUUCAUCAACAAGGAGUAAAAGGUAUGGGUGGGGAAGUUUUGUUAGCUGUUACACAAAGUCCAGCACCUGUGUUUGCAGGAGAGUCCAAAAAUGACAACUGCUAAUACCCUUCAGAGUGUCUCUCUCAAUAAGGCUUUCCACAAGGAAUUGGCUUAAACCAGCCAAAGUAAACUUUGUUCCUUAUAAUGCUAAAUUCUCAUCCCUGGAGGGGUUCCUGCCUGCCAUUUAAACAUGGACUCUAUGAAGAAGUAUGAUCUCUAAUUGCACAUGCACAGGAAUAUGCCCGCCUCUACAAGUCUCUCUGGUAUGAAUAGGCAUAAUCUCCACAAUAAAACUCCCUUGCUUCCUUUGUUAGGAGAGCCUCUGUUGUGGGUGUCACCCCUGAUACUCUCCUUAUCUCCUGUUUAUGCUUUUGGGCUCUGCAUUUACCAACGGGGGAACUCAUUGUGUCCAUUACAGGUCCUUAUAAAUACCAGAACCAGGAAUGACCGUUCCUGGCUUAAUAUAAUAAAGACAUUUUAAAUUUAGUAAAUUCAU
Marmota monax (woodchuck) is the source of this 2442-nucleotide long non-coding RNA. RefSeq lists it as uncharacterized. Lineage: Eukaryota; Metazoa; Chordata; Mammalia; Rodentia; Sciuridae. The transcript is spliced from 3 exons. The record is from RefSeq and is a predicted model, not a curated record.